This 383-nucleotide long non-coding RNA is filed under the name Musa acuminata (dwarf banana). Its description in RNAcentral is "long non-coding RNA (MACU_LNC001220)". Lineage: Eukaryota; Viridiplantae; Streptophyta; Magnoliopsida; Zingiberales; Musaceae. The record is from RNAcentral.
GUCUGACAUAUCUCAUCCACCUUCACCAGCUGCGGCAGCCGCCCCGACCCCAAAAGUGGGAACAAUUGCGAGAACGAGGUAUACCUGCGUCCACAACCCAUCAUUUUCAGUUGACCUCCGAUCGAUCAAUAACGAAGAGACCAAAGGAGAGGCAGUAUCUUACGCGAGGAUCCAUUUGCCGUUUAGGAGGGGGAGGGCGUCGGUGGGAGCGGGCGUGGGGUUCUUGGCCUCGAGCUGGGUGAUGAGCUCCACGAUCUCCGCCCUCGUCUCGCUCGACGCCUUCAGCCCACGGUCGGUCCCGGACAGCAGAUCCAUCAGCUUCCUCUUCAGCUCCCCGGCCUCGCUCAGCUCCUCCACCGGGGGUUCCACCACUGCGACCCCGC